GUCCACACCGUAAACGAUGGAUACUAGGUGUUCGGAACUUCGGUUCUGAGUGCCCAAGGGAAACCGAUAAGUAUCCCACCUGGGGAGUACGUCCGCAAGGAUGAAACUCAAAGGAAUUGACGGGGGCCCGCACAAGCGGUGGAGCAUGUGGUUUAAUUCGAUGAUACGCGAGAAACCUUACCUGGGCUAGAAUGCCCCUGACAGGCCGUGAAAGCGGUUUUUCCUCGGGACAGGGUGCAAGGUGCUGCAUGGUUGUCGU
Molecule: ribosomal RNA, 259 nt
Filed under: uncultured bacterium
Lineage: Bacteria
Description: partial 16S ribosomal RNA
Rfam family: Bacterial small subunit ribosomal RNA
Source: RNAcentral